Molecule: ribosomal RNA, 401 nt
Filed under: Escherichia coli
Lineage: Bacteria; Pseudomonadati; Pseudomonadota; Gammaproteobacteria; Enterobacterales; Enterobacteriaceae
Description: partial 23S ribosomal RNA
Rfam family: Bacterial large subunit ribosomal RNA
Source: RNAcentral
GUAGCGGCGAGCGAACGGGGAGCAGCCCAGAGCCUGAAUCAGUGUGUGUGUUAGUGGAAGCGUCUGGAAAGGCGCGCGAUACAGGGUGACAGCCCCGUACACAAAAAUGCACAUGCUGUGAGCUCGAUGAGUAGGGCGGGACACGUGGUAUCCUGUCUGAAUAUGGGGGGACCAUCCUCCAAGGCUAAAUACUCCUGACUGACCGAUAGUGAACCAGUACCGUGAGGGAAAGGCGAAAAGAACCCCGGCGAGGGGAGUGAAAAAGAACCUGAAACCGUGUACGUACAAGCAGUGGGAGCACGCUUAGGCGUGUGACUGCGUACCUUUUGUAUAAUGGGUCAGCGACUUAUAUUCUGUAGCAAGGUUAACCGAAUAGGGGAGCCGAAGGGAAACCGAGUCUU